Molecule: ribosomal RNA, 492 nt
Filed under: uncultured bacterium
Lineage: Bacteria
Description: partial 16S ribosomal RNA
Rfam family: Bacterial small subunit ribosomal RNA
Source: RNAcentral
GAUGAACGCUAGCUACAGGCUUAACACAUGCAAGUCGAGGGGAAACGACAUCGAAAGCUUGCUUUUGAUGGGCGUCGACCGGCGCACGGGUGAGUAACGCGUAUCCAACCUGCCCAUCACUUGGGAAUAACCUUGCGAAAGUAAGACUAAUACCCAAUGAUAUCCCACGAAGGCAUCGGAAUGGGAUUAAAGAUUUAUCGGUGAUUGAUGGGGAUGCGUCUGAUUAGCUUGUUGGCGGGGUAACGGCCCACCAAGGCAACGAUCAGUAGGGGUUCUGAGAGGAAGGUCCCCCACAUUGGAACUGAGACACGGUCCAAACUCCUACGGGAGGCAGCAGUGAGGAAUAUUGGUCAAUGGGCGAGAGCCUGAACCAGCCAAGUAGCGUGCAGGAAGACGGCCCUAUGGGUUGUAAACUGCUUUUAUAAUGGAAUAAAGUGGGUCACGUGUGACUUUUUGCAUGUACCUUAUGAAUAAGGACCGGCUAAUUCCGUG